Long non-coding RNA from Suricata suricatta (meerkat), 803 nucleotides. RefSeq lists it as uncharacterized. NCBI's taxonomy places the organism in Eukaryota, Metazoa, Chordata, Mammalia, Carnivora, Herpestidae. The record is from RefSeq and is a predicted model, not a curated record. The transcript is spliced from 3 exons.
UUCUCUAUUCUUCUGGUGGAUCCAAGAACCUUGUAAAUUAUCCUUAGAAGAAGGGGGUGCAUUUUUGGAAAACCACAGAUGCCCCUAGGCUCAGCCUUAUCUCUAUUCCACAAACAAAAGAAGUGAACUGAAUUCUUUCCUAACAUAGAGUGCUUCAUCUAGAUCCCAGAAAGAAAAGUCUUUAAGAUUCUCAAAUCCUUGAAAAGCAUCUGGGGGAAAUGUGAAUGACAAGGAGAAAAAGCAUCCCUUUAAAAGCUGGGCAGCCACUUUUCUGCCAAGGGCUUGUCAAAGUUGCUCAAGAGAAAGAAAAAAGAGGAACAAGUGCACAUAUACAGUUUUAAAGUAGCUAGCAACCAAGACAACGCCAAUUAUUUAACCACAGUAAAGAGACCAGCAGCCAAACCACACUGAUUAUUUAACCGCGUAUCCAAGUGCUGAACACAGCCAUAGCCAGCCACGUUAAUUUAAUGUAAAUAUCCCGAGUAACCAGCUCCCAAGGAGCUCAGAGAGUAACUCUUUGAAACCGAAGGAUAUUAAGUGCUGGAUGGAGAAGAGACCAGAGUCCAGGAGGAGCCUAGGAGGAGAAUUGGGUCUUCCCAAAAGAAUUAUGGGAGCAGACAGAUUUAGAGCACAAUCAGAAGUUUCCUGCUUCUAAGAUGUAACUCCUCAGUGGUGAGUGAUGCCUAAGUAAAGAAGAUGGGAAAGGACAUUUAAAGGAAGUGUGGCCAGAAUCAAAUCAAUGUCCCUUCCAAUCCAUACCCCCUGGUUCCAUCAGAGAAGGGGCAACACUCUUCCAAGUGGAU